AUUUGUAUAAGAGACAGGUGAGUCAUCGAAUCUUUGAACGCAACUUGCACCCUUUUUGGGUAUGUCUGUUUGAGUACCGUAAAUAAAUAUUCUCCUUGGAGGAUGAGUUGAGGCGUAUGCAUCAGUUAAAUGAUGAAUUGCCUUUAAAUUGAGCAAGUGGGCGGAAUAGGCCUUUUCAUGUGCUAGGGACUUUUAGUCUUGUCAUGAACAAAACCUAAACUAGCCAAUUAACAAUUUUUGAAUUUGGUCUCAAAUCAGGCAAGAUUACCCGCUGAACUUAAGCAUAUCAAUAAGCGGAGG
RNAcentral lists this unclassified non-coding RNA (300 nucleotides) under uncultured fungus. RNAcentral's name for it is "sequence contains 5.8S rRNA gene, ITS2". The stretch from base 245 to 300 matches the Rfam family "Eukaryotic large subunit ribosomal RNA", at positions 1 to 56 of the family's 3401-position model. The record is from RNAcentral. Lineage: Eukaryota; Fungi.